Molecule: microRNA, 22 nt
Filed under: Gallus gallus (chicken)
Lineage: Eukaryota; Metazoa; Chordata; Aves; Galliformes; Phasianidae
Description: gga-miR-1802
Source: miRBase by way of RNAcentral
CAGUGACUGCUUUUGUGCUUAU